ACUGACAUUUGGAUAUUCAACUUGGUAACAAAAUGCUUGCUGCAAACGAAAUGUCGGACAUAAUGUUAGCUUAGUGUCAGGAUCCCACAUUCUCUCUGCUGAUUCCUCACGUCUGUAUCCACUUUUGUCUUCAUAAAAGCUCAGCAUUUUGGGUCAGCAGCUUAUAAAAGCUUAAGUGCUUUACAUUGUUGGUAGUGAAUAUCACCACACAGCAGCUUUUAGGCAUUUUUCUGUUGUUUGCAGACACAAUUGACGAGGAGGACACCUUUACGCAAUACAAGUCAAUGGAGAGAUGGGUGUGGCUUUCAGAGUAUGACGCAAUGCGUCUCUAUAGGUCAUUUCUUUCUACCCUCUAAUUAGGGCUCCACAAUUAAUCGCAAUUUUGUCGAAAUCGCAAUAUGGACUAGUGCAAUAUCCAAAUCGCAGGGGGGAGCAAUAUUUGCUAAAGGCAAAAUAUUUGUCAAACAAUUCUGAAUGAAGUAUUGUGGUGCUGCAGAGACGUCCCAGCCUACAAGUCGUAUCCUACAGACUAAAGACAUUUUUUUUGUUUGGUACGGAUCCUGAUUCUAAUAACUUCUUUUCAUUUUUUAAUGAAAAUGAGAAUAAUGAUACCGAAAUGAUCGUUCCCUCCAAUAUUGUGAAUCAUAUCCCAAUUGCAAUAUCAGUGAAAAUAAUCACAAUUGUCUCUGGUAAACGCUGCCUUUGUCAAGGUUGAAAGGAGUAACAAAGUUUGCCGUCUGUACAGUCUAUGGUUGGGACAGCACCCUCCGUGUUGUUGUAUUAUGAUCCACAUAAGUAAACAACACAGCGUGAUUGGUUGAUGUCUUCAUUCGCGGUGCAUAAGCUCAGAACAAUCAACCUUGUAUUGAAAAAAAUUACGUUGGGUUAUUGCCGUGUAAUAUUUGCGUUCUAAGUGAAAGUAGUCAUGACUAAAGCAACAGUUCAAAAAUAUAUUGACGUGCAAAUUAUUUACACGUGAAAAACAUCCCCAGUGUGUAAAGGCCUUAAUACUUUUUCACUUUACUUCCAGCUUUGCUCCUGUCAAGACGCCGCUAUUAUAAACGUAAAUGUAAGUCAUAAUUGCUGCUUGAACAAACAACCUAUGUGGGAUUUUUUUGGGGAAGACAGUCUGGAUGUUUCAGUGAUUGUGGCUCGCUCUGCUUCUGGCAGUGUUGUGGUCAAGACUACCUAAACCGAGACCAAGUCAUCACCCCAGACCAAAAGUGUACCUUUGUGGGGUUGAGACCAAGCCAAGACCAAGACCAAGGCAGGGCGAGUCCGAGACAAGACCAAGACUUUUAGGGGUUGAGACCAGUGCGAGUGCGAGUCCCACACUGCAUGACACGAUAAAUGUAGAAAAAUGCUAACCAUAGGCACUCCUCAAACUGGUCUGAAAGAUCCACAUUCCCAUAAAAAAACACUCACAAAAAAUGUAAUUAGUGUAUCAUGAGAAAUGCCUCGGUAAAAGAAUCAAAAGGCACUUGUGGUCUUGACCGAUCUUGCAAUAAAAUCCUGAGUCCUCUUUACCUGAGACCGAAUCGAGACCGAGUAAAAAUGCGAUCGAUUCUGAGACGAGACCCAAACCUUCAAAAAGUGGUGGGGUAGCUUUAUGUAACUUUGUUGUCUCUCCUGGUUAGGGUUAUAAGUCCUAAAGACCAACUGGCAACAAACCCAUAGGUUUACCAAGCAACAGUCAAUCAGCUCUGAUCUGGGUCACUCACUGAGCGUCUAUAGGGUCUGAAAAAGCACCUUAUACAACAAUGGACCCUUUACUGACUCCACAUUCACAUCACGAGACUUAUCGUAAAAAGAAACUGCUGACUGGGAAAAACGUCAGCAUCCAUGUGCUGAAUACAAAAAGGACACAUUGUAUGACUUUGAAAUGGGAGAUGACGUAGGAGGAACUCAUGCUUGGACACAUGGGAUAACGUGAUGUCAGAAAAGUAGUUUUUGUGAGAUGUGUGUUGUUUGUAAAUGGGACCAAACUGUGUCAGGUUAUACAGUGGGAUGGCAGAAUGAAAAUAGUUCAAACUGAUACUAAGGAUUUGUUGAGAUGUAAUUAUUUUCACUUGUCAGAUGUUUGAAAAGUAGUGAAAGGUAAUGUAUUUUUGAUGUUUUUUUGGUAUUAUUAUUUAACAAUUAUAAACCUUCACGUUCAUCAGUAUCUGUUUAAUGUUGUGUACACUUGUGUUGGGUUUUAACCUGAGUUGCAACAGUUUGUAAUGCCUCUCUGUCCUUAGUUACCGUUACGUACUGUGCUUCUCUGCUGCCUAAGUCUUAUAUAAUGUGCUGUAUGUACUGCUAACUGUAUCUACAGUAAAAGCUGACGAGGGGUCCUCACUCUCU
This is a long non-coding RNA of Sander lucioperca (pikeperch), 2346 nucleotides long. RefSeq lists it as uncharacterized. The transcript has 2 exons. NCBI's taxonomy places the organism in Eukaryota, Metazoa, Chordata, Actinopteri, Perciformes, Percidae. The record is from RefSeq and is a predicted model, not a curated record.